RNAcentral lists this ribosomal RNA (444 nucleotides) under uncultured bacterium. RNAcentral's name for it is "bacterial SSU rRNA". It matches the Rfam family "Bacterial small subunit ribosomal RNA", at positions 353 to 793 of the family's 1533-position model. The record is from RNAcentral.
AGUGGGAAUAUUGCACAAUGGGCGCAAGCCUGAUGCAGCCAUGCCGCGUGUAUGAAGAAGGCCUUCGGGUUGUAAAGUACUUUCAGCAGUGAGGAAGUGGGUAUGUUAAUAGCAUACUCAUUUGACGUUAGCUGCAGAAGAAGCACCGGCUAACUCCGUGCCAGCAGCCGCGGUAAUACGGAGGGUGCGAGCGUUAAUCGGAAUUACUGGGCGUAAAGCGCAUGCAGGUGGUUUGUUAAGUCAGAUGUGAAGCCCGGGGCUCAACCUCGGAAUUGCAUUUGAAACUGGCAAACUAGAGUACUGUAGAGGGGGUAGAAUUUCAGGUGUAGCGGUGAAAUGCGUAGAGAUCUGAAGGAAUACCGGUGGCGAAGGCGGCCCCCUGGACAGAUACUGACACUCAGAUGCGAAAGCGUGGGGAGCAAACAGGAUUAGAUACCCUGGUAG